CCUGAUGUGAACAGUGUAAAUCAUCCCCAGCAUGUGACUGUCAGUGCUGGCUGGGCCAAAGAUGGGAAGCUGAUGGUCCAGGUGGGGAGAUAGAAGGUUUCAGAAUCAAAGAGGGUAAGAAAGACUGAGGAUGCAGAGACGUUCAGAGAAAGGGAGGAGCCUGAUCUUGGGAGAGGCGAGAGAAUGUCUUCAGCUAGUGACAAACCAGGAGGUGGAAGAGGGAGAGCAACCUAGAAGG
Empidonax traillii (willow flycatcher) is the source of this 238-nucleotide long non-coding RNA. RefSeq lists it as uncharacterized. NCBI's taxonomy places the organism in Eukaryota, Metazoa, Chordata, Aves, Passeriformes, Tyrannidae. The transcript has 3 exons. The record is from RefSeq and is a predicted model, not a curated record.